GAUGAGGUAGCCGCGUGGUUAAAGCGAUGGACCUUGCUAAUCCAUUGUGCUCUGGGUUAGAAUCCCAACUUCAUUG
This 76-nucleotide transfer RNA is filed under the name Lepisosteus oculatus (spotted gar). It matches the Rfam family "tRNA". Rfam says of the family: Transfer RNA (tRNA) molecules are approximately 80 nucleotides in length. Their secondary structure includes four short double-helical elements and three loops (D, anti-codon, and T loops). The record is from Rfam by way of RNAcentral. Lineage: Eukaryota; Metazoa; Chordata; Actinopteri; Semionotiformes; Lepisosteidae.